CAUUCCCCCAUCUACACAGUUGAAUCUCUCUUCAGAUCUCACCGGAAUCCGUCCCUCUUCAUCAUCUCAAUCACAUCUCCGAACCUUUCAGAUCUCUCUUCCCGGUUUCACCCUAAGUUUCAUUUUUUAGCCGUCAGGAAGAAGAGAUCUGGCUAUAAAUGUCAAUUUUUAGGGAUUUGAUUAUGGCACAAUAUCAUGAGAAGAAGAUGUUUGGUCCGUUUGGAGUAACAACCACGAAGAAGAAGAGGAGGAGGAAGAAGAAGAAGUUGAGAUGAAACACGAUGAAGAAGAAAACGGAAGAUCAAAUAAUCCGAAGACGACAACGGCAGAGAAGAAUUACACCGAUGAAAUUAGAUCAAGUGGAGGAGAAGGUGGUACUGAUUUUACUAUUGGAGCAGGGGUUUAUGUGCUGGAGAUGAUUUUUGUUGAAGAAGAAGAAGAUGUAUAAUCAGGUAGGACAUAUUCUGAUCAGAAUCGAGGAUGGCCGACCAAAGACACUGUUUAGGAUGCAAAUUUCUGCAUAGACCAUGUCCAGAAGGGUGUCGUUAUAUUCGACUGUUUCAUGCAUACUUCGACGUAUCAAGAUUCACCGUAGGAGAUUCAGCUUCUCCUACUGAUGGGCAACAAAUAGAAGACCCAGCUUCUCCUACUAAUAGACAGCAAAUAGAAGACCCAGCUUCUCCUACUGAAAGACAGCAAAUGGAAGGCCGUAUAAUGGAUAGCACCAAAAGAUUUGAAACAAAGGCUAGAAAUGAUGAACCUGUUUUGGGGGCAACAGGAAUCCUUUUAGCACUACAUGAGCGUGUGAGAGAUGAAGUUAGCCGCUUUAAUACCAUUGUGGGCCUGAGUCGCUACAUUAAAAGUAUAGAGAAUGUCGCAUACCUUACUCGACCAGAGACAAUUAAUCAUUUUGUCCUAGCAGAUACGGAAAUUCUUGGACAGCAACACCGAGCUUGUCCAGUGUGCAUGUAUCUACCCCAAAAGUGUGAGGAGAGUUGUCCAUUUGUUUGAUUCUUUGAAGAACAUGUAUCUGGAGGUUCCAUCAGAAAUUUUUAUGCACUACUUUUGGGCACAACAGAUGUGUUGCCUGGUCGCCUUAAUCCUUGGUCAGCUGAUGACAUAGCUAUUAUAAAUACUAAAACAGUGGAAUUCGAAGAUAAUGCUAGGGUCCACGAUCCUGUUUAUGGGAUAACAGGAAUAAUUUUAUCAUUGUACAGGAGGUGGCGGAACCUUAAUCGGCAGGUUAAUUUGAUUGAAAGAGGCAGAGCAACAGCAUCUGAAUGUGCAGAAUUUUUCUACUGCUCAAAUUGGUUCUUGUGACAGUACUACAGACGAAGGAAAAAGGAUUGUGGUCCCAGAAUCAACAAGCAUUGCACACGAUGAAUUUGAAUAUUUGAAUCACCGUCUCUUCAUGGAAGAAGAUAACGAGUCUCUUCAUAGCAGAGAAAAACUGUUGGGGAAGUAUAUGGAGUUCCAACAUGAAGUUGCAUCACUCACGCCGUUACCACAAGAAUGGAAUUAUUCUUUCUUCUUUCUACAAGGAGAAUCUUCAAACAGUUCUCCUUCAGUUGCUCACCAAAUGAACCAGUCAUCAGAUGAUCGGUUGCAGCAGCAACCAGAACAACUUCCAGAUAGGCUACCUGUUCAGGGCAUUCCACAACGAAUUGCAGAGAAUGUUCCACAAAAUGUACCAUCACAGCUACAACAACUGGCAGCUCCUUCUCAUAGCCAACAAGGCGCUUCAUCAUCAUUAAGAGCGUUAACUUCGUCUCAACAAGGAAUGAGCAGCAGUAGCACAGGAACACCACCAACAAGUGCUACCACAGACUCUGCAUAGCCUAAAAGGAACUGGUGAUGUCAUUAGGGACUACGGAAGUUUGUUACAGCACUAAAGUAAAGAACUAUUGAAGAAACAGAAAGAUCGGGUUAUGGAUGUUUCACCCUAGAGAUGAAUUUAGCUAGCUAAUUAUUGCUCACCCAUCGUGAAUCGACCCUCAGCUAUAGAUUAGUAUGUAUGGUUGUUGUAGUGGCAGUAGUAACUUUGACGUUCUAGUUUACGUUCCUGCCUAUAUCAAUACCACCAUCCCUAGCUCUGAUUUCAUGUCUUCAGUACUUCUUAUCAUUUGGUUGUAUGUCUUGCUGAUGAAGGUAUACUACAAUAUAGUCCUUGAUCUUUGAAGAACCACAUGGGUUCCUCUUUG
Long non-coding RNA from Papaver somniferum (opium poppy), 2201 nucleotides. RefSeq lists it as uncharacterized. The record is from RefSeq and is a predicted model, not a curated record. The transcript is spliced from 5 exons. NCBI's taxonomy places the organism in Eukaryota, Viridiplantae, Streptophyta, Magnoliopsida, Ranunculales, Papaveraceae.